This 175-nucleotide non-coding RNA is filed under the name Candidatus Endobugula sertula (Bugula neritina bacterial symbiont). RNAcentral's name for it is "6S RNA". It matches the Rfam family "6S / SsrS RNA". From Rfam's summary of the family: E. coli 6S RNA was the first non coding RNA to be sequenced, but its function was unknown until recently. It consists of 184 nucleotides that fold into an extended hairpin structure with a large single-stranded internal bulge. Lineage: Bacteria; Pseudomonadati; Pseudomonadota; Gammaproteobacteria; Cellvibrionales; Cellvibrionaceae. The record is from RNAcentral.
UGAGUCCUGAGGUGUUUGCCAGUCAUCGUCCUUGAGCCGAUAUUACAACUUCCGGAGGUUUCUCGUGCUUGUUGGUGUGCAUGUCCGUACUACGGAAAGCCUAAUGCUUGCCAGAGACCACCACUUGAACUUCACGGUUCAAGGCCAUUAUGACAGCGGCAUUCUUGGGAUACUU